This 32-nucleotide non-coding RNA is filed under the name Mus musculus (house mouse). Lineage: Eukaryota; Metazoa; Chordata; Mammalia; Rodentia; Muridae. The record is from RNAcentral.
UAGGAUGCUUGCAAUCAUGAAGACAAGGAUUU